This 429-nucleotide ribosomal RNA is filed under the name uncultured bacterium. Its description in RNAcentral is "bacterial SSU rRNA". It matches the Rfam family "Bacterial small subunit ribosomal RNA", at positions 354 to 776 of the family's 1533-position model. The record is from RNAcentral.
GUGGGGAAUCUUGCGCAAUGGGCGAAAGCCUGACGCAGCGACGCCGCGUGCGGGAAGAAGGCCUUCGGGUUGUAAACCGCUUUCAGGGGGGACGAAGCCACUCGGGUUAAUAGCCCAGAGGGUGACGGUACCUCCAGAAGAAGCCCCGGCUAACUACGUGCCAGCAGCCGCGGUAAUACGUAGGGGGCAAGCGUUGUCCGGAUUUAUUGGGCGUAAAGCGCGUGUAGGCGGUUCAAUAGGUCCGGUGUGAAAACUCGAGGCUCAACUUCGAGAGGCCAUCGGAAACCAUUGGACUAGAGUCCGGAAGAGGAGAGUGGAAUUCCUGGUGUAGCGGUGAAAUGCGCAGAUAUCAGGAGGAACACCGAUGGCGAAGGCAGCUCUCUGGGACGGUACUGACGCUAAGACGCGAAAGCGUGGGGAGCAAACAGG